CCUACGGGAGUCAGUAGUGAGGAAUAUUGGUCAAUGGGCGCGAGCCUGAACCAGCCAAGUAGCGUGAAGGAUGACUGCCCUACGGGUUGUAAACUUCUUUUAUAAAGGAAUAAAGUGAGGCACGUGUGCCUUUUUGUAUGUACUUUAUGAAUAAGGAUCGGCUAACUCCGUGCCAGCCGCCGCUGUAAUCCGGAGGAUCCGAUCGUUAUCCGGAUUUAUUGGGUUUAAGGGGAGCGUAGAUGGGUUGUUAAGUCAGUUGUGAAAGUUUGCGGCUCAACCGUAAAAGUGCAAUUGAUACUGGCAGCCGUGAGUACAGUUGAGGUAGGCGGAAUGCGUGGUGUAGCGGUGAAAUGCUUAGAUAUCACGAAGAACUCCGAUUGCGAAGGCAGCUUACUAAACUGCCACUGACAUUGAUGCUCGAAAGUGUGGGUAUCAAACAGGAUUAGAUACCCUUGUAGUC
RNAcentral lists this ribosomal RNA (460 nucleotides) under uncultured bacterium. RNAcentral's name for it is "partial 16S ribosomal RNA". It matches the Rfam family "Bacterial small subunit ribosomal RNA", at positions 338 to 795 of the family's 1533-position model. The record is from RNAcentral.